Oreochromis aureus is the source of this 1001-nucleotide long non-coding RNA. The record is from Ensembl. Lineage: Eukaryota; Metazoa; Chordata; Actinopteri; Cichliformes; Cichlidae.
CGGAGAGGCUGUCCAAAAUAAAGACAAUGUUGGAUAACACCUCCCACCCACUCCAUGACAUGCUGGUCAGUCACAGGAGCACGUUCAGUGAGAGACUGAGAUUACCGAAAAGCACCACUGAAUGACACAGGAAAUCAUUCCUGCCUGUGGCCAUCUCACUGUACAACGCAUCCACUUAACACACUGUUUACUGCCACAACUACACGGUUCUUUCCCGCUAUUUAUUAUUGUGACUUAUAGAUCUAUAGAUAUAUAGAGAUAUAGAUAGAUAUAGAUAGUUAUAGAUAGAUAUAUAGUUAUUGAUAGAUCUAUAGAUAUAGAGAGAGAGAGAGAUAGAUGGAUAGAUAUAUAUAUAUUUUAGUACUAUUCUUAGUUAGCGUGUUGUCUGUUUUGUUAAUGUUGGUGUAUAAUGGAGCACUGUAACAAAGAAAUAAUUUCCCCCAGGGAUCAAUAAAGUAUUCUGAUUCUGUUCAUCUGGAAUGAUGAUGGAGUCUUGAGCAAUUUGGGCUUUCAGGUAUUUCUUGCACCUUUCUGAGGGAAGAGGGGCUCCAGAACUGUCAUCACCUUCUGCCUCACUGAGGGCCACAACAGUGAUAGCACGCAGUCCCACUGACAUAUCAUCUUGAUGCAGUGCGCAACAUCAACCCUGAUAAAACAUGGGGGGAGUUUGGCAGACUGGGUUCCAAGAAGGACAUGAAAGCAUUCAUUAAGUAGUGACAGAAAAACCUGUCCAGUCCAAUAUCACGGAUGCUACCACUAGUGGCCAAAUUUGGAAGGUGGCUUGGCUCAGGAUCUCCAACAUCCAUCAGAUCUGCUGCCUUCGCUGACCUCCAUACAGCCGGUUCCAUUCUGCCCUCUCACAGCUCUUUAGAGAUCUGUUCACGCAGGUUUCCAGACAUGAACCGCUUGGAGUGGCCAGUGUGCAGGGAGAGAUCUGUAUUUCUCAUGAAACACUGGAGCACCAUUGGACUAUUAAUUGCUGGCUGUCUGUCACAUGACAU